UGGGGAAUUUUGGACAAUGGGGGAAACCCUGAUCCAGCCAUCCCGCGUGUGCGAUGAAGGCCUUCGGGUUGUAAAGCACUUUUGGCAGGAAAGAAACGUCAUGGGUUAAUACCCCGUGAAACUGACGGUACCUGCAGAAUAAGCACCGGCUAACUACGUGCCAGCAGCCGCGGUAAUACGUAGGGUGCAAGCGUUAAUCGGAAUUACUGGGCGUAAAGCGUGCGCAGGCGGUUCGGAAAGAAAGAUGUGAAAUCCCAGAGCUCAACUUUGGAACUGCAUUUUUAACUACCGGGCUAGAGUGUGUCAGAGGGAGGUGGAAUUCCGCGUGUAGCAGUGAAAUGCGUAGAUAUGCGGAGGAACACCGAUGGCGAAGGCAGCCUCCUGAGAUAACACUGACGCUCAUGCACGAAAGCGUGGGGAGCAAACAG
This 428-nucleotide ribosomal RNA is filed under the name Acidobacteriota bacterium. Its description in RNAcentral is "Acidobacteria bacterium partial 16S ribosomal RNA". It matches the Rfam family "Bacterial small subunit ribosomal RNA", at positions 355 to 775 of the family's 1533-position model. The record is from RNAcentral. Lineage: Bacteria; Pseudomonadati; Acidobacteriota.